AGAGUUUGAUCAUGGCUCAGGACGAACGCUGGCGGCGUGCUUAACACAUGCAAGUCGAGCGGUAAGGCCCUUUCGGGGGUACACGAGCGGCGAACGGGUGAGUAACACGUGGGUGACCUGCCCUCAGCUCUGGGAUAAGCCCGGGAAACUGGGUCUAAUACCGGAUAGGACACAUCGGCGCAUGUUGGUGUGUGGAAAGAUUCGGUUCGGCUGGGGAUGGGCCCGCGGCCUAUCAGCUUGUUGGUGGGGUGAUGGCCUACCAAGGCGGUGACGGGUAGCCGGCCUGAGAGGGCGACCGGCCACACUGGGACUGAGACACGGCCCAGACUCCUACGGGAGGCAGCAGUGGGGAAUAUUGCGCAAUGGGCGGAAGCCUGACGCAGCGACGCCGCGUGGGGGAUGACGGCCUUCGGGUUGUAAACCUCUUUCGCCAGGGACGAAGCUUUUGUGACGGUACCUGGAUAAGAAGCACCGGCCAACUACGUGCCAGCAGCCGCGGUAAUAC
RNAcentral lists this ribosomal RNA (505 nucleotides) under uncultured bacterium. Its description in RNAcentral is "bacterial SSU rRNA". It matches the Rfam family "Bacterial small subunit ribosomal RNA", at positions 8 to 526 of the family's 1533-position model. The record is from RNAcentral.